This 338-nucleotide unclassified non-coding RNA is filed under the name soil metagenome. RNAcentral's name for it is "partial contains 5.8S ribosomal RNA, internal transcribed spacer 2, and large subunit ribosomal RNA". The stretch from base 1 to 120 matches the Rfam family "5.8S ribosomal RNA", at positions 35 to 154 of the family's 154-position model. The record is from RNAcentral.
GAUGAAGAACGCAGCGAAAUGUGAUACGUAGUGUGAAUUGCAGAAUUCAGUGAAUCAUCGAAUCUUUGAACGCACAUUGCGCCCUUUGGUAUUCCAAAGGGCAUGCCUGUUCGAGCGUCAUUUGUACCCUCAAGCUUUGCUUGGUGUUGGGCGUCUUGUCUCCAGUCCGCUGGAGACUCGCCUUAAAGUCAUUGGCAGCCGGCCUACUGGUUUCGGAGCGCAGCACAAGUCGCACUCUUUUCCAGCCAAGGUCAGUGUCCAACAAGCCUUUUUUCAACUUUUGACCUCGGAUCAGGUAGGGAUACCCGCUGAACUUAAGCAUAUCAAUAAGCGGAGGA